RNAcentral lists this ribosomal RNA (512 nucleotides) under uncultured bacterium. RNAcentral describes it as "bacterial SSU rRNA". It matches the Rfam family "Bacterial small subunit ribosomal RNA", at positions 15 to 518 of the family's 1533-position model. The record is from RNAcentral.
GAUUCUGGCUCAGGAUGAACGCUAGCGACAGGCUUAACACAUGCAAGUCGAGGGGCAGCAUAGAAGUAGCAAUACUUGGUGGCGACCGGCGCACGGGUGAGUAACGCGUAUGCAACCUACCUAUCAGAGGGGAAUAACCCGGCGAAAGUCGGACUAAUACCGCAUAAAACAGGGGCACCGCAUGGUGAUAUUUGUUAAAGAAAUUCGCUGAUAGAUGGGCAUGCGUUCCAUUAGGUAGUUGGUGAGGUAACGGCUCACCAAGCCGACGAUGGAUAGGGGAACUGAGAGGUUGGUCCCCCACACUGGUACUGAGACACGGACCAGACUCCUACGGGAGGCAGCAGUGAGGAAUAUUGGUCAAUGGGCGGGAGCCUGAACCAGCCAAGUCGCGUGAAGGAAAAGAAGGAUCUAUGGUUCGUAAACUUCUUUUGCAGGGGAAUAAAGUGCAGGACGUGUCCUGUUUUGUAUGUACCCUGAGAAUAAGGAUCGGCUAACUCCGUGCCAGCAGCUGC